RNAcentral lists this ribosomal RNA (510 nucleotides) under Stigmatium cf. cicindeloides NLG-2013. RNAcentral's name for it is "partial 16S ribosomal RNA". The stretch from base 387 to 510 matches the Rfam family "Bacterial large subunit ribosomal RNA", at positions 2473 to 2597 of the family's 2925-position model. The record is from RNAcentral. Lineage: Eukaryota; Metazoa; Arthropoda; Insecta; Coleoptera; Cleridae.
UGUCCUUUUGAUUAUAAUUUAAGGUCUAAUCUGCCCACUGAGUAUUUAAAUGGCCGCGGUAUUUUGACCGUGCAAAGGUAGCAUAAUAAUUAGUUUCUUAAUUAGAAGCUGGAAUGAAAGAUUGAAUGAGAAAAUAACUGUCUCAAAUUAAUUUAGUUAGAACUUUAUUUUUAAGUUAAAAAGCUUAAAUGAUUUUAAAAGACGAGAAGACCCUAUAGAGUUUUAUUUAAAAUUUUUAGAGAUAAAUAUAAAUUUUAGUAUUUUUUUUAAAUUUUUUAAAUUUUGUUGGGGAGAUGGAAAAAUUAAUUUAACUUUUUUUAUAUUUUAACAUUAAUUAAUGAAUAGUUGAUCCAAUUUUUUUGAUUACAAGAUAAAAUUACCUUAGGGAUAACAGCGUAAUUUUUUUUGAGAGUUCUUAUCGAAAAAAAAGAUUGCGACCUCGAUGUUGGAUUAAAGUAUAAUUUUGGUGUAGAAGCUAAAAAUUUGGGUCUGUUCGACCUUUAAAACUUU